GGUUUGUGCGCCCGUCGCAGGUCGCAGGCCUCUUUGUCAGCUGGAGUUGCGCGGGCUGACGCGCCACUAUGUAGCGGGUUUCGGGCGGGCCACGCGUGCGGGACAGGAACCCAACCCCAGCCGACCUUGAGCUCCAGGAGUUCGUCUCUUACGUCUGCGGAAGUGCAGCUGCCUCAGUUCUUAGCGCAGGUAUGUUCCUAGCCUUGAGCGGGGUGGGGGAAGGAAUGAGUCAGCCUGGAGCACGUGGCCAGUGGGACCGGAGGGUUCCCCGGCGUCUGUUUGUCGCCAAGGUCCGAAUCCGGCUCCCCUUAACUGGAAGGAAACAUCCAUGUAGGGGCUCACCAAACAAAACAGCUGUGUUUCUAGUGUGGUUUCAGACUUAGAGAAGCAGAGAUCCACGAGGUAUUGAGAGCAACGCGGAAAAUAGUAGUGAACCCUGUAAAAAUCAAAGAAAAAAAAUCACAAAGCACCCUUUCCUGUGCCCUUUUAAGGUUGACCCAGUGCUUUAAGAGGCUAACACAGAAGGGUAAAGUAAGUCUCCAUAAAACCCAGAGAAGAGACUGGAAAGCUCCUCUUUGGAUCCUGUCUGGAGUCACAACUGAACCAGAAAAAGUUUCGUUACAACUUGAGCGCCUUUGUGAUUUUCUUUACAGUUUAUAGAACAAGCAAUACAUUUCAGUUUUCUUUGGUUAAAACGUCAUUUUAAAACUUUUCUUUCUAUAGGUUGACAACUACAGGCACAAGCCAUUGAAGCUGGAAUGUCCUGUUGCUGGUAUUUCAAUUGACUUAAGCCAACUAUCCCUUCAGUUACAAUAGGAAAGUGCCUCUAAUAAGGCCAAAUAUGCGUACUAACUUGUAGCAACCACGUGUCCGUGCAGUGCCACAGGAGCUAGAGCAGUGACAAUGCUGGUGGCAACAGGGCAGUGUAGCAGGUGCUUCAUGUUCACCUUUUCAACCUUUUCAUUUAAUUGUCACAACUCGGAGGUGGAUUCUGUUAGGGACAGGCUGCCCCAGGACCACUCCGCCCCCGCUAACUCAAUGCAGCUGACCCUUACCCUGAAUACUCUGCAGCUGCAUUCCUGAACCGUUAUCUAGGCGCUAUAGCAAGGUCACCAGACUUGCUACACCGAAGCCCUCUGGGUGGCACGGGGGAGGUCAUGAGAAACGUGGAUUACACCCCCUUGUAAAUUCCUAUUUUCACAAGAUAAUAUAUUGUAAGCCGGUCAUGAGAUUAUAUGUGGUAAAGUUAAUUGACUAACAACCCCAGGGUCUCUCUCCCCCAUAUAAACCCCUCAUUUUGUAAGCUCAGGGCUGCCACCUCCGACUGGUGGAGAAGCCUGGCAGGUUAAUAAACUUACUUGGCCUGACCUUGGGUCUCUUGUCUUUUCUCUCGGCUAACCUUACAGAUUCUAUUCUCCCAUUUCACAGGUAAAGAAAUGGAUUAGUGAUAACUCAAGUUUCAUCACCUCUCUACAAGUUUCACGCUGUUUAAGUCAUGAACCUACAAAAGCCUGUGAAAAAAUCUUUGAAGAUGCUCAGCUUGUUUCAGUCUGAAAUUUCUCCAAGACCAAUGAACAAAACAGGAUCAUGCCCUGAAUACACACCCAAG
RNAcentral lists this long non-coding RNA (1609 nucleotides) under Homo sapiens (human). RNAcentral describes it as "non-protein coding DANCR:14". The stretch from base 479 to 600 matches the Rfam family "Small nucleolar RNA SNORA26". The record is from RNAcentral. Lineage: Eukaryota; Metazoa; Chordata; Mammalia; Primates; Hominidae.